Dipodomys ordii (Ord's kangaroo rat) is the source of this 104-nucleotide small nuclear RNA. NCBI's taxonomy places the organism in Eukaryota, Metazoa, Chordata, Mammalia, Rodentia, Heteromyidae. The record is from Ensembl.
GUACUCACUUUGGCAGCACAUAUACUAAAAUUGGAACGAUACAGAGAUUAGCAUGGCCCCUGCACAAGGAUGACAUGCAAAUUCGUGAAACAACCAAAUUUUAU